This is a non-coding RNA of Paramuricea clavata, 212 nucleotides long. The record is from the annotation of a GenBank genome assembly. NCBI's taxonomy places the organism in Eukaryota, Metazoa, Cnidaria, Anthozoa, Malacalcyonacea, Plexauridae.
CCCCCUCACCCGUGGAAAAAUCCUUAAAAAGGCCCUGACCAGUAAACCUAAAAAAACUAUUAAAUGUCUAUUUACAUAUUAAAUUUAUACUUCUGACAACAACACCACAUGUUGUUCAAUCACACAUGCGAUAGUGGACAUAGUGUAAUCGGGCACAAAUUAAACUAUAUAUAUAUAUAUAUAUAUCAAUUUAGAAUGAAAUCCACAGCGAU